CCACCCCCCGGCCCCCUCCUCUGAAGAGGAGGGGGAGAGAGGGCCGAUAAGCCCCCUCCUCUUCAGAGGAGGGGGUUGGGGGGUGG
RNAcentral lists this non-coding RNA (86 nucleotides) under Novosphingobium sp. SG754. RNAcentral also lists the same sequence under 12 other names. Lineage: Bacteria; Pseudomonadati; Pseudomonadota; Alphaproteobacteria; Sphingomonadales; Sphingomonadaceae. The record is from RNAcentral.